AGCAGCCGCGGUAAUUCCAGCUCCAAUAGCGUAUAUUAAAGUUGUUGCAGUUAAAAAGCUCGUAGUUGAAUUUCGGGAUCAGUAUGUUGGUCGUGCUUCGGUACGUACUGUCAUUACUGGUUUCUACCUUCUGAAGAACCAUGAUGUCAUUAAUUUGGUGUCUUGGGGAAUCAGGACUGUUACUUUGAAAAAUUAGAGUGUUUAAAGCAGGCUCGCGCUUGAAUACAUUAGCAUGGAAUAAUGAAAUAGGACGUUUUGAUCCUAUUUUUGUUGGUUUCUAGGAUCGACGUAAUGAUUAAUAGGGAUAGUUGGGGGCAUUAGUAUUCAAUUGUCAGAGGUGAAAUUCUUGGAUUUAUUGAAGACUAACUACUGCGAAAGCAUUCGCCAAGGAUGUUUUCAUUAAUCAAGAAC
RNAcentral lists this small RNA (411 nucleotides) under uncultured Glomus. Its description in RNAcentral is "SSU rRNA". It matches the Rfam family "Eukaryotic small subunit ribosomal RNA", at positions 569 to 984 of the family's 1831-position model. Lineage: Eukaryota; Fungi; Glomeromycota; Glomeromycetes; Glomerales; Glomeraceae. The record is from RNAcentral.